AGAAUCAACGCUGGCGGCGUGCCUAACACAUGCAAGUCGAACGCGAAAGUCCCGCAAGGGAUAAGUAGAGUGGCAAACGGGUGAGUAACACGUGGGUGACCUGCCUUCGAGUGGGGGAUAACGUCCCGAAAGGGACGCUAAUACCGCAUGACAUCCUGCUUUUUAAGAGGCGGAGAUCAAAGCCGGGGAUCGCAAGACCUGGCGCUUGAAGAGGGGCCCGCGCCUGAUUAGCUAGUUGGUGGGUAACGGCUCACCAAGGCAUCGAUCAGUA
RNAcentral lists this ribosomal RNA (271 nucleotides) under uncultured bacterium. RNAcentral's name for it is "partial small subunit ribosomal RNA". It matches the Rfam family "Bacterial small subunit ribosomal RNA", at positions 26 to 285 of the family's 1533-position model. The record is from RNAcentral.